Molecule: RNA transcript, 1400 nt
Organism: Mandrillus leucophaeus (drill)
Lineage: Eukaryota; Metazoa; Chordata; Mammalia; Primates; Cercopithecidae
Gene name: protein FAM60A pseudogene
Exons: 1
Source: RefSeq, a predicted model, not a curated record
AAGACUAUUGCCCAGAAGAAAAGAUGUUUAGUUUUCACAAGCCAAAGAUGUACCGAAGUAUAGAGGGCUGCUGUAUUUGCAGAGCUAAGUCCUCCGGUUCUCAAUUCACUGACAGUAAGCGCUAUGAAAAGGACUUCCAGAGCUGUUUUGGAUUGCAUGAGACUCGUUCAGGAGACAUCUGGAAUGCCUGUGUCCUGCUUUUGAAAAGAUGGAAGAAGUUGCCAGCAGGAUCAAAAAAAAAACUGGAAUCAUGUGGUAGAUGUAAGGGCUAGACCCAAUCUAAAGACUACAUUGAAACCAAAGAAAGUGAAAACUCUAUCUGGGAACAGGAUAAAAAGCAACCAGAUCAGUAAACUGCAGAAGGAAUUUAAACGUCAUAAUUCUGAUGCUCACAGUACCACCUCAAGUGCCUCCCCAGCUGAAUCUCCUUGUUACAGUAACCAGUCAGAUGACGGCUCAGAUACAGAGAUGGCUUCUGGUUCUAAUAGAACACCAGUUUUUUCCUUUUUAGAUCUCACAUACUGGAAAAGACAGAAGAUAUGUUGUGGGAUCAUCUAUAAAGGCCAUUUUGGGGAAGUCCUCAUUGACACACAUCUCUUCAAGCCUUGCUGCAGCAAUAAGAAAGCAGCUGCCGAGAAGCCAGAGGAGCAGGGGCCAGAGCCCCUGCCCAUCUCCACUCAGGAGUGGUGACUGAGGUUUUUAUGUAGAAGGGGAACAAAAAAAAAAAAAACAUCUAAAUUUUGAAAAGACCACAAAGCAACAAACUGACCCUCUGUUUUGUUUUUGUUUGUUUUUUUUUUUUUUGAGAUGGAGUCUUGCUCUUGUUGCCUAGGCUGGAGUGCAGUGGCGUGAUCUUAGCUCACUGCAACUUCCGCCUCCCGGGUUCAAGUGAUUCUCCUGCCUCAGUCUCCCAAGUAACUGGGUUUAUAGGUGCCCACCACCAGACCCAGCUAAUUUUUUAGUUUUUGUAGAGAUGGGGUUUCACCACGUUGGCCAGGCUGGUCUCAAAUGACCCUCCUAUUUUUAACUUGGAUAUCUGCUAUUCUGCCAAAAGAUAAUUUCUAGAGUAGUUUUGAAUGGGUUGAUUUCCCCCAGUCCCACAAACUCUGAAGCCAGUGUCUAGCUUACUAAAAAAAGAGUUGUACGUAAUAUUUAAGAUGCUGAGUAUUUCAUAGGAAAGCUGAAUGCUGCUGUAAAGUGCUCUUUAAGUUUUUUUUUUCUUUUAAUCCCCUUCUAAUGAAUGAAACUAGGGGAAUUUCAGGGGACAGAGAUGGGAUUUGUUGUAUGAUAAACUGUAUGUAGUUUUUAGUCUUUCUGUAUUGAGAAGCAGUGGUUGGGGCAUUUUUUAAGAUGGCUGGCUACUCUUGUUUUCCCUCACGAUAAUAAAUUUGUCAUAACUC